This 486-nucleotide ribosomal RNA is filed under the name uncultured bacterium. RNAcentral's name for it is "bacterial SSU rRNA". It matches the Rfam family "Bacterial small subunit ribosomal RNA", at positions 43 to 524 of the family's 1533-position model. The record is from RNAcentral.
CAGGCCUAACACAUGCAAGUCGAACGGUAAUAGGUCUUCGGAUGCUGACGAGUGGCGAACGGGUGAGUAAUGUAUCGGAACGUGCCCAGUCGUGGGGGAUAACGCAGCGAAAGCUGUGCUAAUACCGCAUACGAUCUAUGGAUGAAAGCGGGGGACUCGCAAGGGCCUCGCGCGAUUGGAGCGGCUGAUAUCAGAUUAGGUAGUUGGUGAGGUAAAGGCUCACCAAGCCUGCGAUCUGUAGCUGGUCUGAGAGGACGACCAGCCACACUGGAACUGAGACACGGUCCAGACUCCUACGGGAGGCAGCAGUGGGGAAUUUUGGACAAUGGGCGCAAGCCUGAUCCAGCAAUGCCGCGUGCAGGAUGAAGGCCUUCGGGUUGUAAACUGCUUUUGUACGGAACAAAAAGGCUUCUUCUAAUACAGGGGGCUCAUGACGGUACCGUGAGAAUAAGCACCGGCUAACUACGUGCCAGCAGCCGCGGUAAU